CCAAUUGGUAGAGCAACUGACUCGUAACCAGUAGGUCGUGGGUUCGAAUCCCAUCUCCGGC
This 61-nucleotide transfer RNA is filed under the name Sharpea azabuensis. It matches the Rfam family "tRNA", at positions 12 to 70 of the family's 71-position model. Rfam says of the family: Transfer RNA (tRNA) molecules are approximately 80 nucleotides in length. Their secondary structure includes four short double-helical elements and three loops (D, anti-codon, and T loops). The record is from RNAcentral. RNAcentral also lists the same sequence under 1 other name. Lineage: Bacteria; Bacillati; Bacillota; Erysipelotrichia; Erysipelotrichales; Coprobacillaceae.